UUGACCAAUACGCCACCGCUAAAACUAGUACUACUACCAGUAACUCAGGUCUUGACUCGAGUAUGAACAGCGGUGGUAUGAAUUGGGGGGUUUUGGCUGUGUACAGUUGUUCGAUUAGUUGUACCAAAUAUCGUGAUGAAUAUGUUGUGGUUCAG
Molecule: non-coding RNA, 155 nt
Filed under: Stephanopyxis turris
Lineage: Eukaryota; Bacillariophyta; Melosirophyceae; Stephanopyxales; Stephanopyxidaceae
Source: RNAcentral